RNAcentral lists this unclassified non-coding RNA (909 nucleotides) under Hevea brasiliensis (rubber tree). Lineage: Eukaryota; Viridiplantae; Streptophyta; Magnoliopsida; Malpighiales; Euphorbiaceae. The record is from RNAcentral.
AAUUGGUUGAACUCUUCCUGUCACCUGUAUAUGGAAGAAUAACAAAUGUCAUACCACUAACAAUCCAGGUCCUGGAAAACCCGAACAUUAGAGAAAUAUCAAAGUAUACAAAUGACUAGAAACAAAAACAACUAUAAAACUAGAUUUCCUGAAAAAGAUCCCUAUAUCCUUCAGAUACAAAGAGUCAACUAAAAAAAAUUUCAAUACAAGGCCCCGCAUAACAGUUCAAGAACAAACACUUCCUCAUAGCAACAGAAUGAUAUUUACUAUUGUAAUAUCAUUUUCAAAAGUGAUAACAAAUCAAAGCCGGAAAUUGGAAAUCUAAGAUAAAAUCCAAACUAAGAACAAGCUAAAAAAAAAUACACAAGUUCUCUUAUCAAGAGGCACAUAAUGUCUCCCAAAUUUCUGGCAGUAUCAAUCUUGCAGUUUUUGCACAUUAGCCCAACCAAAGAGGACAUCUGGAAGACAAGUUUCUAUAUAAUAGUAGGUGAUCAGAAAUUUUCUAUAACAAUAAUCACAUGCUAACUGCUAGAAGAACCUCAUUGAACCAUAUCGUUCCAACAAGUAAAAUCACUUCUUAAUUGGAAUUGAAACUCUUCUGAGUUGCAGCUCUGUUCUAGAAGGACAGGUUAGUUUAUAGGUACAAGUAAAACUUAACACGUCUACAACCCAAUUCAACUCAACCAAGCUUUUAUCCAAAAAUUUGGGUUGGCUAUAUGGAUCUAUCAAUUUAAUUAGAAAUUUAUUAUAUAAUAGCUACAAGCCUCCCAAUUUAAAUAGAGAAAUCAGGAUAUUCCCGGUUACCACCCCUACAAAUAACCUAAGAUUGCUAGAAUGAAAUCAAAUAUAAUCCUAUGAAGCCCACAAUUUAAACAAUGAAAAAAUAAAAAAGAAAGAAAAAAAAAAAAA